CCUACGGGGGGCAGCAGUGGGGAAUAUUGGACAAUGGGCGCAAGCCUGAUCCAGCCAUGCCGCGUGGGUGAAGAAGGCCUUCGGGUUGUAAAGCCCUUUUGUUGGGAAAGAAAAGCAGUCGGUUAAUACCCGAUUGUUCUGACGGUACCCAAAGAAUAAGCACCGGCUAACUUCGUGCCAGCAGCCGCGGUAAUACGAAGGGUGCAAGCGUUACUCGGAAUUACUGGGCGUAAAGCGUGCGUAGGUGGUGGUUUAAGUCUGUUGUGAAAGCCCUGGGCUCAACCUGGGAAUUGCAGUGGAUACUGGGUCACUAGAGUGUGGUAGAGGGUAGCGGAAUUCCCGGUGUAGCAGUGAAAUGCGUAGAGAUCGGGAGGAACAUCCGUGGCGAAGGCGGCUACCUGGACCAACACUGACACUGAGGCACGAAAGCGUGGGGAGCAAACAGGAUUAGAUACCCUUGUAGUC
RNAcentral lists this ribosomal RNA (465 nucleotides) under Vibrio parahaemolyticus. Its description in RNAcentral is "bacterial SSU rRNA". It matches the Rfam family "Bacterial small subunit ribosomal RNA", at positions 338 to 795 of the family's 1533-position model. Lineage: Bacteria; Pseudomonadati; Pseudomonadota; Gammaproteobacteria; Vibrionales; Vibrionaceae. The record is from RNAcentral.